RNAcentral lists this ribosomal RNA (207 nucleotides) under uncultured bacterium. RNAcentral describes it as "partial 16S ribosomal RNA". It matches the Rfam family "Bacterial small subunit ribosomal RNA", at positions 568 to 774 of the family's 1533-position model. The record is from RNAcentral.
CGCGUAGGCGGGGAGGUAAGUCGGGCGUGAAAUCCCUCGGCCCAACCGAGGAACUGCGCCCGAGACUGCUUCUCUUGAGUCCCGGAGAGGAAGAUGGAAUUCCCGGUGUAGCGGUGAAAUGUGUAGAGAUCGGGAGGAACACCGGUGGCGAAGGCGGUCUUCUGGACGGUGACUGACGCUGAGGCGCGAAAGCGUGGGGAGCAAACG